UCUGCCAUAUUUAUUUCUGAUGAAAAGAAAAUAUCUAACAACAAAUUUGUUAAUCUCCUUUGGUGCCUAACUCUAAUUCAGGCACCUAGAAGACUGCUGAAAUAAAUCAAUGAAAUAGGAAUUAGGCUCUGAAACAGCCUUAUGGAUGUGAAUCUUGGUACAGAAACCAAAUUUACUGAAGUUAUGGUGUGCAUCGGGGUGGCUUAAAUUGUUGAAGCGCUGGCAAGAAUAGACAAGGAACUGCUUGCAGUGGGUUGCAGUAUGCUACUUGAUAAACAGAGAUAAGGCUUGAGAAGUUUCAGGUGAUCUGUAAGUAGGGUGUUUGUAUUGUGGAAAGGGGCUUUAUGUUUCUCCUUCAAUUAUUGUCAGCAGCCUAUUCACAGCACUCAAACUCAGUUGUCACACCUACAUGUAGCCUCACCACAUAGAAGUCUUUGGUGUGAGGCUGACCCAAGUCCUUUAUUUUGGUGGUUUAAAAGUGUCAAAUCACUGCUGAAAGCACUUUGCUGCUACAAAACUCUGGACUGAGAAUGCAGCUUGCCUGGAAAGCAACUUCUGUUCUGUGUGGACAGUGUGUCAGGAUAGGAUGGGAUUGGCUGAGCCCCCAGGGUGCAGGAUGGCCUUCCCAGGAGAUGACCUUGGAUUUAGGGUCAUCCUUCUUUUCAUUUACAAUUUUACAACUUUUGAAUUUUCAUUUUACAUAGGAACCAAAUGUCAGAAUGGUAAAGCCUGUGUGAAAUGAGACUCUCGUCUUCUUCUGGGGACCUCAUCUCUUUUUACGGACAGUAUUCGUACCAGAAUGACAAGAAGGAGUCUAUCUUCAGAAAGGUCCUAGACUUUCUCUGGGGCUUGACCGUGACUCAGCUCUACUGGUAAAACAGAGACACAUGACAAGGCCACAACAGGAUUGUGAUUCACUUACAACAGCAGACAAUUGAGAUGCGGACAAACAGUAUCACUUAUGCCACUGAUCACACAGAAAUACAGAGUGGAAGAGGGAGUGUGGCACGCAGUUCAACACUGAUCAAGCUACGUCAUUUGUCUUGCCAGAGAUCUGGCUUUGAUCUAGACAUUUUUGUAUUCAGAUUGGAUGUCCACAAAAGAAAGUUUUGCUUGCUCAAACUGCAGGAUGCACACUGAGAAAGUGCUGGACAAGAGGAAGCACUU
RNAcentral lists this long non-coding RNA (1167 nucleotides) under Numida meleagris (helmeted guineafowl). RNAcentral describes it as "lncRNA (ENSNMEG00000018659.1)". The record is from RNAcentral. Lineage: Eukaryota; Metazoa; Chordata; Aves; Galliformes; Numididae.